This 911-nucleotide long non-coding RNA is filed under the name Phascolarctos cinereus (koala). RNAcentral describes it as "lncRNA (ENSPCIG00000004440.2)". Lineage: Eukaryota; Metazoa; Chordata; Mammalia; Diprotodontia; Phascolarctidae. The record is from RNAcentral.
GGAACAGUUUGCAUAUAUCAUAAUGCUUGGAUAAUUCCCUGAAUUGUCUACUUCAUAUUGCUUCUGUGGAUAUACCGAGAGUGUGGGCAGGAACUCCUGAAGGAGAUGAUAAUACCACACAUUUAUAAAGCACUUUAAAUUUUGCAAAAUGUUUUCCUCACAGCAACCCAAGGUAGGUAGUGUAAGUAUUACUCUUUCAUUUUUACAGAUGAAAAAAACUGAGGCUCUGAGAGGGAAGAGACUUUGCCUAUGAUCAACCACCUAAUGAGUGUCUGAGAUGGGAGUCAAACCCAGAUCUUCUAACUCCAUGCCUGGUAUUCUAUUCCCUAUGCCACACUGGCAAACUCUCCUGGCAAAAUCAGUCAGAAAGUUUAGGGAAUUAUCAAAGCUGAAAAUUCUCUUUCCUCUAUAUUGGGUGCAGGAACUAGCUCCUGGGAUAUAGUAUACAAGCCAGAGGAGAACAAGGAUACCAGACAGCAAUCUUUGCUUUUCAGACUACAUACCAAGUACUGGUUCAGAGAGUGGGUUCCUUGGAUAUCAAAUUCCAGAAACUAAAGCAAUAGUCCAUUUUGUUCACACACCAACUCAACUGGUUAAACAACUUUGUAACCCUGAGAUCACUGGCCUGGAACCAACAGUUAGUCCAUAAACCUUUUUGUUUGACAAGGCUUUAAAAAGUAAGAUUCCUUGCCCUGGCCACCUUCAAGGCUAUAAGGGAAAAAUUAUUCUUCCUUACCUCAAAGGCCCAGCAGCUUGAGGGAAGGCUUGACCUGCCGGGGUAAAGUAAAGAACAAUGCCAAGUCUUCUGAGUUCUUCAGGGCACAUUUGGGUUUUGCAUGAAGGCUCAAGACAGUUGCCUUGGUGACUCCACUGAGAAUAAAGAAGGAUCAAAUAAAGGAAAGCUGGAGAAU